CUACGGAGGGUGCAAGCGUUACUCGGAAUCACUGGGCGUAAAGCGCGCGCAGGCGGUUUGAUAAGUUGGAUGUGAAAUCCUAUGGCUCAACCAUAGAACUGCAUCCAAAACUGUCAAACUAGAGUCUGGGAGAGGAAGAUGGAAUUAGUUGUGUAGGGGUAAAAUCCGUAGAGAUAACUAGGAAUACCAAAAGCGAAGGCGAUCUUCUGGAACAGUACUGACGCUGAGGCGCGAAAGCGUGGGGAGCAAACAGGAUUAGAAACCCGGGUAGUCC
RNAcentral lists this ribosomal RNA (274 nucleotides) under uncultured bacterium. Its description in RNAcentral is "partial 16S ribosomal RNA". It matches the Rfam family "Bacterial small subunit ribosomal RNA", at positions 523 to 796 of the family's 1533-position model. The record is from RNAcentral.